GUGCCUGAGGGAUGAACUGAGUCCCUGAUACCAUUAUCCAUCCAUUUCACUUUGUCAACAGUAAUUUUGGUUUUCUGCUGAUCAUUAUUGGAUGGAACAUGU
Telopea speciosissima is the source of this 102-nucleotide small nucleolar RNA. RefSeq annotates it as small nucleolar RNA snoR99. The record is from RefSeq and is a predicted model, not a curated record. NCBI's taxonomy places the organism in Eukaryota, Viridiplantae, Streptophyta, Magnoliopsida, Proteales, Proteaceae. The transcript has a single exon.